AGCCCGAAGAAAUUCGGAUUAAUACUCCAUAAUACUGCGAGAAGGCAUCUUUUUUCAGUUAAAGCUUCGGCGGUCAGAGAUGGGCAUGCGUAACAUUAGCUAGUUGGUGAGGUAACUGCUCACCAAGGCUACGAUGUUUAGGGGGUCUGAGAGGAUGGUCCCCCACACUGGUACUGAGACACGGACCAGACUCCUACGGGAGGCAGCAGUGAGGAAUAUUGGUCAAUGGGCGAAAGCCUGAACCCAGCCAUGCCGCGUGAAGGAUUGCGGCCCUAUAGGUUUGUAACCUUCUUUUAUACGGGAAGAAACCUCUCUAACGUGUAGAGGGUUUGACGGUACCCGUACGAAUAAGCAUCGGCCUAACUCCGUGCCAGCAGCCGCGGAAAUACGGAGGGAUGCAAGCGUUAUCCGGAUUCAUUGGGGUUUAAAAGGUGCCGCAGCCGGAGAAUUAAGUCAAGUUGGUGAAAUCCUGCAGCUUAACUGUAGAAUGGUCAUUGAUACUGGUUUUCUUGAAUGCCGUUGAAGGUAGGCGGAAUGUGUAAUGUAGCGGUGAAAUGCUUAGAUAUUACCCAGAACACCGUUUGCGAAGGCAGCUUUACUAAACUGUGAUUGACGCUGAGGCACGAAAGCGUGGGGAGCGAACAGGAUUAGAUACCCUGGUUAGUCCACGCUGUAAACUAUGAUCACUCGUUGUUGGCAAUACAUCGUCAGCGACUUAGCGAAAGCAUUAAGUGAUCCACCUGGGGAGUACGAUCGCAAGAUUGAAACUCAAAGGAAUUGACGGGGGCCCCGCACAAGCGGAGGAACAUGUGGUUUAAUUCGAUGAUACGCGAGGAACCUUACCUGGGCUUAAAUGCAUAACGACGGACCGGGAAACUGGUCUUUCUUCGGACGGCAUGCAAGGUGCUGCAUGGCUGUCGUCAGCUCGUGCCGUGAGGUGUCGGGUUAAGUCCCAUAACGAGCGCAAUCCUUAUCAUUAGUUGCCAGCGGGUAAUGCCGGGGACUCUAAUGAAACUGCCGGUGUAAACCGAGAGGAAGGUGGGGAUGACGUCAAGUCAGCACGGCCCUUAUGUCCAGGGCUACACACGUGUUACAAUGGUCAGUACAGAGGGAAGCUACCAGGCGACUGGAUGCUAAUCUCAAAAACUGGUCUCAGUUCGGAUCGGAGUCUGCAACUCGACUUCGUGAAGUUGGAUUCGCUAGUAAUCGCGCAUCAGCCAUGGCGCGGUGAAUACGUCCCCGGGCCUUGUACACACCGCCCGUCAAGCCAUGGAAGCCGGGGGUACCUGAAGUUCGUAACC
This 1301-nucleotide ribosomal RNA is filed under the name uncultured organism. Its description in RNAcentral is "bacterial SSU rRNA". It matches the Rfam family "Bacterial small subunit ribosomal RNA", at positions 145 to 1435 of the family's 1533-position model. The record is from RNAcentral.